UGGAUCCAGACUUUGAUCCUGGCUCAGGAUGAACGCUGGCGGCGUGCCUAAUACAUGCAAGUCGAACGAAACUUCUUUAUCACCGAGUGCUUGCACUCACCGAUGAAGAGUUGAGUGGCGAACGGGUGAGUAACACGUGGGCAACCUGCCCGAAAGAGGGGGAUAACACUUGGAAACAGGUGCUAAUACCGCAUAACCAUGAACACCGCAUGGUGUUCAUGUGAAAGGUGGUUUCGGCUACCGCUUUCGGAUGGGCCCGCGGCGCAUUAGCUAGUUGGUGGGGUAAAGGCUUACCAAGGCAAUGAUGCGUAGCCGAACUGAGAGGUUGAUCGGCCACAUUGGGACUGAGACACGGCCCAAACUCCUACGGGAGGCAGCAGUAGGGAAUCUUCCACAAUGGGUGAAAGCCUGAUGGAGCAACGCCGCGUGGGUGAAGAAGGUCUUCGGAUCGUAAAACCCUGUUGUCAGAGAAGAAAGUGCAUGAGAGUAACUGUUCAUGUUUCGACGGUAUCUGACCAGAAAGCCACGGCUAACUACGUGCCAGCAGCCGCGGUAAUACAUAGGUGGCAAGCGUUAUCCGGAUUUAUUGGGCGUAAAGGGAACGCAGGCGGUCUUUUAAGUCUGAUGUGAAAGCCUUCGGCUUAACCGGAGUAGUGCAUUGGAAACUGGGAGACUUGAGUGCAGAAGAGGAGAGUGGAACUCCAUGUGUAGCGGUGAAAUGCGUAGAUAUAUGGAAGAACACCAGUGGCGAAAGCGGCUCUCUGGUCUGUAACUGACGCUGAGGUUCGAAAGCGUGGGUAGCAAACAGGAUUAGAUACCCUGGUAGUCCACGCCGUAAACGAUGAAUGCUAAGUGUUGGAGGGUUUCCGCCCUUCAGUGCUGCAGUUAACACAAUAAGCAUUCCGCCUGGGGAGUACGACCGCAAGGUUGCAACUCAAAUGAAUUGACGGA
This 951-nucleotide ribosomal RNA is filed under the name uncultured Bacillota bacterium. RNAcentral describes it as "bacterial SSU rRNA". It matches the Rfam family "Bacterial small subunit ribosomal RNA", at positions 1 to 917 of the family's 1533-position model. Lineage: Bacteria; Bacillati; Bacillota. The record is from RNAcentral.